Molecule: ribosomal RNA, 253 nt
Filed under: uncultured bacterium
Lineage: Bacteria
Description: partial 16S ribosomal RNA
Rfam family: Bacterial small subunit ribosomal RNA
Source: RNAcentral
UACAGAGGGUGCAAGCGUUAAUCGGAAUUACUGGGCGUAAAGCGCGCGUAGGUGGAUAAGCAAGUUGGAUGUGAAAGCCCUGGGCUCAACCUGGGAACUGCAUUCAAAACUAUUUAUCUAGAGUACAGGAGAGGGAAGUGGAAUUUCCGGUGUAGUGGUGAAAUACGUAGAUAUCGGAAGGAACACCAAUGGCGAAGGCAACUUCCUGGACUGAUACUGACACUGAGGCGCGAAAGCGUGGGGAGCAAACAGG